This is a long non-coding RNA of Populus nigra (black poplar), 998 nucleotides long. RefSeq lists it as uncharacterized. Lineage: Eukaryota; Viridiplantae; Streptophyta; Magnoliopsida; Malpighiales; Salicaceae. The record is from RefSeq and is a predicted model, not a curated record. The transcript is spliced from 3 exons.
CCAUAAAAACUGGUACAACACGAGAAACCCUAUCAAGGCAAGGGGGUGACGAGAGAGCAUCCAUCCUUAAUGGCUCCUCUUCAUUGGCUGCUUUCAGAAACAAGUGGUGAAGUAGUUUCAUGUUGUCAAUGGCAACGCACAAGUCCUUUUCAUCUGCUUGCCGCGCAUUUGUCACGAUAAGUCGCCCUAUUUGGCCCAGGUUCUGGAGCCGUUCAAUGAGGUUCCCAUGCCCCUCAAGACUUGAUUAUGAUGGCAUGCUGCAGCUUUGCAAUGCCAGAAGGAAGCUCCUCAAAUUUGGUUUCCUUGAUAUCCAAUGGUUCUAACCUGAAGUUUUCCAUUUGAUUCGUGAAGUUGCUCCAUUUGAGUUCCAGUCAAGCUCAAGAACCUUAAAUUGACCACCGAGUUUGGUAGUUUAUCAAUCUGCAGACUCUCUAGAUCCAACACCCUUCACUAUUUAAAUCCACGAAAGGCUUUACGGAAGAGAGGUUUAGAUGUCUUGUCUGCGGGAAACACAAAGAAAGAGUGGGUGUGUGAGAUGCUCUUGACAGAGUAUAUUUCACGGUCCUUGACUAGAACUGACAAUCGACGAGCUCCACUCUCCUGAAUUUCUUCUUCUGCAUAGAAAACACUGAAUAUUUCAAGACAUCAUCACAGCACAAAGUCAGAAGCAAUAAUUUAAGCAUUUAGCAAAAUUUCAAUUCGACAGGCGGAGGCUGUUUACUACCAUUUUGAAUCCAACACGUCUUGCCAAUGGAGAAGGUUCAACAGUGGGAACUCUUAUAUUCGACAAUGAGCUUGUCAGCCUGAGGAAUCAGUGAAGCAAAUAUCUUGAAUCGAAAAGACAAGCAAUCUAUUUACCAAUAAUCAAGAUUUUUCUACGCUUUACAUAGGACAACAAUUGUGUUUGAGAAUUUAGCUCACAUAAAGCAGCAGUUUCUGAGUUCCAGAAUUCAUAAUUGGUAACAAGCCUUUGCUUGCUAUUUGCCUUUUAAACCAGA